CCGAAGAAGCCCAAAGAUACGUUGUUUCAAGUCUGUCAAACAGAGUCAGCGUCAAGUCAGUCACCGAUCCAGGGAGGGAGAAAGCCACACUCAUGAGAAGCCAAUCCACAAUCCAGGGAGGAAGAAAGCCACACUCACGAGAAGUCAGUCCAAGUCGAAGAUCCACAGCUUGCAGGGACAUGAGAGAAGCCUCCCAGUAACACAUCUGGCAUCCCCUGGGCAACGUCUCUGUAGAUGGCCAAUUCUCUCAUGCCAGAAGCGACUUGCAAAACAGAAAACAAAAUACAUGGCAGCUAUUGGACUUGGUGGUGUUCUCUAUUUUGCAGUCUUAGGAAAGCAUGAAUCUUCACUCAGGCAUGAAAUCCACUGUGACCUUGGGCAAGUCUCAUUCUCUCAGCUUUGGAGGAAGGCAAAGCGAAACCUCUUCUGAAGACAUUUUGCAUAGAAAACCUUCUGAUAGAAUUGCCAUAAGUUGAAAUCAGUCUAAAGGCACAUAGUAACAAAUACACAUGGACGCACACACAUACAAAUAUAAGUGUGAGUAUGUCUGUACAUGUGUGUGUAUAAUCUUCAUAUGAGUAUAUAUGUAUAUGUGGAUUUGAUUCUUGUUUUCUUUUCUUUUAUAGUGCUAUUAUUCUGUUAUGAAAAAUCAUGAAAGGACAACAGUAAUUCCUCUCUUUCUGUUUCCUCAUAACAGAGAGAAUAAUUCAUGGGCAGUUAGAUGCUAAUCACCUAGUGGAGCUGAACAGAAAAUAAUAAAUUGGGGUGAACCUAUAAAAAAGAUGCUUUCAUUUUAAGACCUGAUAGUUUUUAAAAGGCUCAAGCUCUUUAUCCUCACUGGCUAGAUUGGUGUUGCAAUUUUGUUUUGUUACAAAACAUUAACAUGGACAAGAGUUAAGAAACAUUUAUAGUUACAAUAGAAAACAGAAAAAAAAAUUGUGAUAGCAAAAGGCUAGGACCUGAGUCACAAAGUUCUCUAUGUGACUUUGAUGGGUUUCCCAUAACCUAUUUAGUGCUGUCAAAGGAUCACAGUUUGGUCUCAGGUCCCUGACUAACAAUUAUAACAAAUAAUAUUAAGCAAGAAAGACUACUGAGUACUGUAUCACACAAGAAAGGAAACUGGCAUUGAAGCAAGACUAUCACCUUUGGUGACCAUUCCUAUUGCAUGAUGCUAUAUGCAUCACAUUGCCAAUCUACCUCCUCCCCAAAAACCCAUCAAUCUCACCUUGUUCCCAUCUUUUAUCUUGUGCAAUGGGUCUCAUCUGCUUUUAUGCUGGAACAGAUUAUAUUCUCUCCCUUUCCCCCGCUAUCCCAAGCUGCUUAUUUUUACAGCAAUAUUUGCCUUUAAAAAAACCAUUGUUGAUUUGUGAAAAGGCUAAACAAAUUUUAAAAAAUUACAGGACAUUGGAAGAGAAAGAAGGCAAGGUAAAAAGGGGAUGCAAAAGUAUGACCUUGGGACCAUGCGUCAAUGAACUGGUCAAUGGGUCAAUGAAGUGGUGCAAUUGCACAAAUAAAGAGAGAUACAAUGACAAUGGUGUUCAUGGCAAUAUGUAUUUGGUGCCAGUGACUGUGUGUUUGCCCUGGAAUAGCAGCUUCAUGCAGUAAAAUCUCAAAAUAGUAUAAGCCAGAUUCGUAUGUUCAAUAUCAUGCUAUUUAUUCCACACUUUUUUCUCUCAAGUGAAGAAUACAUGGGAUUUUGGUUAUCUACACUCCAUAGUUGUGAGUCUUCAUGUCUCAAGAAGGUCAUGUCUCCAUAUAAAAUUUAGCAACACCCUCUUUCCUCCUGAAUCAUUUAGUCUGCAGCUGGUCUGUGUUUGUUCUUCAUCCACUUUGUACUCUCCAGUUCUCUCUCUUACCUCCAUGUUUGUAAAGCACAGGUUUCUGGUGUCUUUGGCCAUAAGAGAUUAUGGCAUCUUAACAUUUCUUAGUAAGUUUACUUCCUCUCUUUAUAUUUUAUACACACACACACACACACACACACACACACGGUAUAUUUGAAGAGCCUAUGUUCUGUUUUGAGGAAUCUUUAAAGAUAGUUGAUAACUUGGCUGCAGAUGUUCAGACAUCCUGAAAGACCAUUUUGCUUGAAGCUCAAAAGGUCCUUGUCUGGAUCACUUCAACUGGUGCAUUUAUACAGAUUGGAGAUAACUGAAGGAGAGGAGAGGUCAAACAGGCUCUAUCCACAAGCUUCUUAAGUACUGAAAGCAGUCCUUGAAAAUACAAGCUUUGGACAAAAUGUUGAAAUGCCAGUUUAUAAGAGUUCUUCUAACGCAUCUCCUCUGGAAGCUGAAUC
Anolis carolinensis (green anole) is the source of this 2293-nucleotide long non-coding RNA. RefSeq lists it as uncharacterized. The record is from RefSeq and is a predicted model, not a curated record. Lineage: Eukaryota; Metazoa; Chordata; Lepidosauria; Squamata; Anolidae. The transcript is spliced from 3 exons.